UAUUAAAAGAUUAACAUUUUUUAUAUAAAAAUAUACCGAAUGAUCUCUAAAAUCUCAAUCAUUGGUAACAUCUACUAAAUUAUUAGUAUAUUAAUAUUUUAGGUAAAUAGAAAACAGAGGACUUAAGAUUAAAUCAAUUAAAAUAUUUUCCAAAAAAUGUAAAUGACCAUACGAAACCCCGUAGAUUUGAAACUCUAAAAAUGACUGUAGAGAGGCUUCAAGCAAUUUUCUAUAGUAUUAGUCAAUUG
Molecule: long non-coding RNA, 248 nt
Filed under: Musa acuminata (dwarf banana)
Lineage: Eukaryota; Viridiplantae; Streptophyta; Magnoliopsida; Zingiberales; Musaceae
Description: long non-coding RNA (MACU_LNC000648)
Source: RNAcentral